GCACCGGGCCCCUAGUAUAUAAUAAAAGGCUAAUAUGCAAAUCGACCAAACAGCAGAACCACUGGUCACUAUGAUGCGCACUGACCACCAGGGGGCAGAUGCUUAAUGCAGGAGCUGCCCCCUGGUGGUUGGUGUGCUCCCAUAGGGGGAGCACCGCUCAGCCAGAAGCCAGGCUCACAGCUGGUGAGCACAGCAGUGGUGGGAGCCUCUCCCGCCUCCGAGACAGCACUAAGGAGCAGGGAGCCCGGCUUCUGGCUGGUGAGCACAGUGGCAGUGGUGGGAGCCUCUCCCACCUCCGUGGCAGCCCUAAGGACCCCUCAGCAGAUGUCCACCUACCAGCUUAGGCUCGCUUCCUGAGAGGGCGCAGGAUGGGCUGAGGGACCCCCCCCCUCCCUGCCCUCACUGCACAAAUGUCAUGCACCAGGCCUCUAUACUAAUAAAAGGGUAAUAUGCUAAUUAAACGGGAUAGACUGGGCGUCUUCUGGACAUCCUUCCUGACAAAGCCAGGGGUGUGGCUGGCCUGCAAACUGCCCAUGACCCCUUGCCCAGGCUGGCCCCGCCCCCACCCCGAUCAGGGGUGUGGCCUGCAAACCCUCAGUAGCCCCAAGCCCAGGCCAGCCCCACUCCCCAGUGGUCACUGCCACCUCGAUUAGGCGCCCCAAGCCCAGGCUGGCCCCAUCCCCCAGCAGGGACUCCCACCCCAAUCGGGAGCAUGGCCGGCCUGCAAACUGCUGCGGCCCCUCGCCCAGGCCAACCCCCAGUGGGGACCCCCCCACCCUGAUCUGGGGCCCCUUCAGGGCAGGCCAGCCUGCCCCCACCCGUGCACCAGGCCUCUAUCCUAUAUAAUAAAAGGGUAAUAUACAAAUUGACCCUGACAGCAGAACGAUCAGAACAACCUCUGGACCAGUCACUAUGAGGCACACUGACCACCUCUCAGUCUCUUUCCUCAGCCGGCAGGCUCCAAUUGCCUGAUGGCCACCCAUGGGGGGGAGGGGGCGGGGGCGGGCGAGCAGGCGGGAACAGCCAACCUCUCGGUCCCUUCCCCCGGCCGUCAGGCACCGAUCACACAAUGGCAAACGGGGAACUGGGAGUGGGUGGCGUCAGGGGACAGGGCCUGCUGCGGGCAGCUGGGGAAGAUGGCCUUGAUUGCAGGCCAGGCCUACGGACCAUACCCACACAUGAAUUUCAUGCGCCAGGCCUCUAGUUUUAAAAAAUGAGGCUGAAUCAAAUGUUCUUAGCCAGGGUAGUAAAUGUGAAGAGAGGGGUAGAAUCCAAGUCUACAGGCCUAGGAUAGUAUUUGGUUUAUUUACAAAUCUGAGAGUUUUCUGUUUAAUUUGGGGUAACUACAGACACAGGUACUCUUCGCCCGGAGACCACAUUGGUGUUCCCAUUGCUCCUUCCUGUGUUUCAUAUCUGAAUACGCAAUGAUUUGGACUCUAUUUUUAAAAGCCAAAAAGAUGCACGCACAGAGAAUGAGCGUGAAAUGAAGCAAUUCAAGAAUUUAGAUUUUUUUUUUUCCUGAAAAAUGCUGAGUUAAGAAAGUUCAUUACCAGAGAUGAAAAUAAAUAGCUUCAUUGGUUUGAGCAAAUGAAUGACAAGAUCUAAACAUUAUCAGGUCUCUAGAAGUGAUGAUGAAAGUUGAGAUAUUUUGCUAGAUCCUGGGAGAAACGGGCCAUUUAUGCUCCCAUAUAAAAUGAGUGUUUUAUGAUCAGGAGACAGCAUGAUAUUAUAAAACAGACCUUGGACUCAGACCUGGCUCAAAUUUUAACCUAAUUUACUCAUCAGCAUUUGGGUUGACCUUGGAGUGGUUUUAUAACCAGUCUAAGUCCCAGUUUCCUUUAUGUACAAAAUAAGGAAAAGAUUUGUUUGUUCAUGAGGUGAUGUUCAUGAAAACAUCUGGCAUCUAGGUGCUCGGUAAAUACUAGUCGCUCUCUCUCCCCUUUUCCCUGAAGCUUUGAGACAAUGUAGGAUUUGCAACCAAUCCUCUGACGUGGGUGCUUAGCUCUGCCCCUUUUCAGGGAGCAUGGAGGAGGAUGAAGACGGGACAUGGGUGGAAUUGACCUUUGAGGAUCAAGAAUCAUGCCCCCUGAUUGGGAACCUGAGUAGGUCUGGCAUGGCAUGGAGGGUGGUCUCUGGAACUAGAGUUCUGGCAGCACAGCGUAACGGGAGGGAAGGCAUGACUUCCAUCAUCCUGAAUCCUGUACGCCCUACCCCCAAAUCAUUAUAUUGUUGCAGUUAUUUAGUUUUGUGCCUUGAAUGUGCUUUUUCUUUUUUAUCUUGAAGCCCCUCAAAUGGUAUUUUUAAAGGUGUUUCUUCAAUCAAAUAAAGAUUUAAAAGAUUUUUUUAAAAUGCUGACCCUUUUGCACCAGCCAAUAGAGCAAUUAAAGACAAGCAUUGCCUUGCUUCCUGUGAAAAAUGCUUGGCAGUUAGCCUUUGUAAUUAUGAAGCAAUCAUGUUAAUAGAUGUUUAAGAAUAAUACAGCUGGCACAGUACUGAGCCAUGAAUGGAGAUGAGCACAUGAGACCAUUUCCCUUCAUCCGUUGGUGCUCUUUAGUGCCCAAGAAAGAGGUUCAAUCAGUGGGACCCAGAAGCUUUCGAUGCUUUAGUUUUUCUUCCUAGGAACCAACCGGCGCUCAGUCCCAGGGCAUGAUUCACAGGCAGCAUGGCUACUGCUGACUGACACUGGCAGCUUCAUUCAGUUGCCCUCUCCCUUUUGGCUUAUACUUAUUUCAGUGGCCACUUAAACUUUAGCCUUUACAUACAAAUGUGGCGGAUCCCACUAUUUCUCAAUAUGUAUUACAGGAAACACUUGUCUUGAAGCAUGCUCCACGGUCAAAUAAGUUUAGGAAACAUAAUGAAUUAUUAUUUCCCUUUUGUCGAAUCACAAUAGAGCUAGCUCCACAGAACACAGGUUGGAAACGAAUACUUUUACAGAAGCAAUUGAACUCUGAUUGCUUCUUAGAAUAUUAAGGGGUCAUAAUAUGCCAUCCUAAAAUAUGCCACUUUGGCAUAAAGAUUAUUUUGAGUUGAAGGCAAUUGAGAAGCAAUAGAUGCAGGAAGAACGGCAUAGAUUUUCCUUUGUAAAGGUGUCCCCUCUGGUCCUCAUCACUGGAAACAGAUGGCACUGAGAUGAGCCUACAUUAAAAAAGCCUUACCUAACAUAAUCCUUAUUUUCCAUCAGUUUCCCCAUAUAUUUACUCUUCCACGACUCACCCCCUCUAGAAGCCCACCCCCCCCCUUUCCUUUGCCUAUUUACUUCACCAUUUAUCACUCUUUGUCAAAACGGUACAUAAGCUUCCAAGUCUUACUGCUUCUUUUGACUUUUCUUUCCUGUGUAGCCCCCAUGGAAGUAAAAUUUAAAAUAUCAAUUAAAUUUUCUUUUAUAAACUUGA
Myotis daubentonii (Daubenton's bat) is the source of this 3392-nucleotide long non-coding RNA. RefSeq lists it as uncharacterized. Lineage: Eukaryota; Metazoa; Chordata; Mammalia; Chiroptera; Vespertilionidae. The record is from RefSeq and is a predicted model, not a curated record.